This 253-nucleotide ribosomal RNA is filed under the name uncultured bacterium. RNAcentral describes it as "partial 16S ribosomal RNA". It matches the Rfam family "Bacterial small subunit ribosomal RNA", at positions 524 to 776 of the family's 1533-position model. The record is from RNAcentral.
UACGGGGGGGGCAAGCGUUGUUCGGAAUUACUGGGCGUAAAGGGCUCGUAGGCGGCCAACUAAGUCGGACGUGAAAUCCCCAGGCUCAACCUGGGAACUGCGUCUGAUACUGGAUGGCUUGAAUCCGGGAGAGGGAUGCAGAAUUCCAGGUGUAGCGGUGAAAUGCGUAGAUAUCUGGAGGAACACCGGUGGCGAAGGCGGCAUCCUGGACCGAAACUGACACUGAGGCGCGAAAGCCAGGGGAGCAAACGGG